GAAAUGCGAUAAGUAAUGUGAAUUGCAGAAUUCAGUGAAUCAUCGAAUCUUUGAACGCACAUUGCGCCCGCCAGCAUUCUGGCGGGCAUGCCUGUUCGAGCGUCAUUUCAACCAUCGAGCCCCCGGGCUUGUGUUGGGGACCUGCGGCUGCCCGCAGGCCCCGAAAAUCAGUGGCGGGCUCGCUGUCACGCCGAGCGUAGUAGUAUCACCUCGCUCAGGGCGUGCUGCGGGUUCCGGCCGUUAAACCAACCCCUUUACCUCAAGGUUGACCUCGGAUCAGGUAGGAAUACCCGCUGAACUUAA
Molecule: unclassified non-coding RNA, 303 nt
Filed under: uncultured Madurella
Lineage: Eukaryota; Fungi; Ascomycota
Description: sequence contains ITS1
Rfam family: 5.8S ribosomal RNA (bases 1-105)
Source: RNAcentral